This 774-nucleotide ribosomal RNA is filed under the name uncultured bacterium. RNAcentral's name for it is "bacterial SSU rRNA". It matches the Rfam family "Bacterial small subunit ribosomal RNA", at positions 63 to 831 of the family's 1533-position model. The record is from RNAcentral.
CGAGGGGCAGCGCGGAGUAGCAAUACUCUGGCGGCGACCGGCGAAAGGGUGAGUAACGCGUGAGCAACAUGCCCGGUAGAGAGGGAUAGUCGAUGGAAACGUCGCGUAAUACCUCGUAACACACGGAACCGCAUGAUUCUGUGUUGAAAGAUUAAUCGCUACCGGAUUGGCUCGCGUGCCAUUAGCUAGUUGGCGGGGUAACGGCCCACCAAGGCGACGAUGGCUAGGGGUUCUGAGAGGAAGGUCCCCCACAUUGGAACUGAGACACGGUCCAGACUCCUACGGGAGGCAGCAGUGAGGAAUAUUGGUCAAUGGCCGAGAGGCUGAACCAGCCAUGCCGCGUGCGGGAGGACGGCCCUAUGGGUUGUAAACCGCUUUUGUCAGGGGGCAAUAAGGUCUACGUGUAGACUGAUGAGAGUACCUGGCGAAUAAGCAUCGGCUAACUCCGUGCCAGCAGCCGCGGUAAUACGGAGGAUGCAAGCGUUAUCCGGAUUUAUUGGGUUUAAAGGGUGCGUAGGCGGGUUUUUAAGCGUGAGGUGAAAUGCCACGGCUCAACCGUGGAACUGCCUCGCGAACUGGAGGCCUUGAAUGUCCGUGCCGUGGGAGGAAUGUGUGGUGUAGCGGUGAAAUGCAUAGAGAUCACACAGAACACCGAUUGCGAAGGCAUCUCACGAACGGAUGAUUGACGCUGAGGCACGAAAGCGUGGGGAUCAAACAGGAUUAGAUACCCUGGUAGUCCACGCAGUAAACGAUGAUGACUAACCGCUGGGCAUU